RNAcentral lists this ribosomal RNA (498 nucleotides) under uncultured bacterium. RNAcentral describes it as "partial 16S ribosomal RNA". It matches the Rfam family "Bacterial small subunit ribosomal RNA", at positions 28 to 507 of the family's 1533-position model. The record is from RNAcentral.
GAUGAACGCUGGCGGCGUGCCUAAUACAUGCAAGUCGAGCGAACUUUUGGGAGCUUGCUCCCAACAGUUAGCGGCGGACGGGUGAGUAACACGUGGGUAACCUGCCUGUAAGACUGGGAUAACUUCGGGAAACCGGAGCUAAUACCGGAUAACAUUGAAGACCACAUGGCCUUCCAUUAAAAGGUGGCUUUUAGCUACCACUUACAGAUGGACCCGCGGCGCAUUAGCUAGUUGGUGAGGUAACGGCCCACCAAGGCGACGAUGCGUAGCCGACCUGAGAGGGGGAGCGGCCAACCUGGGAAUGAGACACGGCCCAGAAUCCUACGGGAGGAAGCAGGAGGGAAUCUUCCGAAAUGGACGAAAGUCUGACGGCGCAACGCCGCGGGAGCGAAGAAGGCCGUCGGGUCGUAAAGCUCUGUUGUUAGGGAAGAAAAAGUAUCGUUCGAAUAGGGCGGUACCUUGACGGUACCUAAACAGAAAGCAACGGCUAACUACGUG